UAGGGAAUCUUCGGCAAUGGGGGCAACCCUGACCGAGCAACGCCGCGUGAGUGAAGAAGGUUUUCGGAUCGUAAAGCUCUGUUGUAAGAGAAGAACGUGUGUGAGAGUGUAAAGUUCACACAGUGACGGUAACUUACCAGAAAGGGACGGCUAACUACGUGCCAGCAGCCGCGGUAAUACGUAGGUCCCGAGCGUUGUCCGGAUUUAUUGGGCGUAAAGCGCGCUCAGGCGGUUUAAUAAGUCUGAAGUUAAAGGCAGUGGCUUAACCAUUGUUCGCUUUGGAAACUGUUAAACUUGAGUGCAGAAGGGGAGAGUGGAAUUCCAUGUGUAGCGGUGAAAUGCGUAGAUAUAUGGAGGAACACCGGUGGCGAAAGCGGCUCUCUGGUCUGUAACUGACGCUGAGGCUCGAAAGCGUGGGGAGCAAACAGG
Molecule: ribosomal RNA, 429 nt
Filed under: bacterium
Lineage: Bacteria
Description: partial 16S ribosomal RNA
Rfam family: Bacterial small subunit ribosomal RNA
Source: RNAcentral